AGCGAACGCUGGCGGCGUGCUUAACACAUGCAAGUCGAGUGCGCGGUUCGUAGCAAUACGAACUGGCGCACGGCGCACGGGUGAGGAACACGUGGGCAACAUGCCCUCCGAUGGGGAAUAACCCGCCGAAAGGCGGGCUAAUACCGCAUACGAUUCCGGGGACCUCGGUUCCUGGACUGAAAGCCCGCAAGGGCGUCGGUGGAGUGGCCCGCGGCCGAUUAGCUUGUUGGCGGGGUAACGGCCCACCAAGGCAAUGAUCGGUAG
This 264-nucleotide ribosomal RNA is filed under the name uncultured bacterium. RNAcentral's name for it is "partial 16S ribosomal RNA". It matches the Rfam family "Bacterial small subunit ribosomal RNA", at positions 28 to 286 of the family's 1533-position model. The record is from RNAcentral.